Molecule: non-coding RNA, 1233 nt
Organism: Pelobates cultripes (western spadefoot toad)
Lineage: Eukaryota; Metazoa; Chordata; Amphibia; Anura; Pelobatidae
Source: the annotation of a GenBank genome assembly
CCUUCAUCAAAGUUCUAAUAACAUAUACACAUAGUCUGAUUAAUUAUCAAAAUAAGAAAAAUUAACUUUUUUACGUAUUUACAAUGUCAUGAAACUCAACAACUAUCUUUGGUGAAAAUAAACGAGAAUGUUUCAAUUUAAUAACUGGUUUGCUGUUUGUGUGUGAUGAACCACUUCUAUCGACAUAGGUUGAUUUUUUUGGGGGUCAACUUGGAUGAAGUACUCUCUUCAAGAUACUAAUAAACAAUCCACAAACAAUGAUAUUCUCACAAUCAUGCUUUAUAGUUGGAAUGAGGUUCUUUUGAUGCAAUUUAGAUUUUAGGUAUUGCCAAAGGUAAAAUCUUUAAUUUAUGCCACUUUCAUUACAGGUGUCCAUGGCACACUCUUAUGAAAGCCAUCUGGAUUAUCCAGUUGAGUUUUGGCUUAAGAUUGAUGGUGAUCCACAGACGAGGAUGGGACUCCUCAACCUCGUUCGUUGGCUAGCAAUCUCCAUGCACUUGGCCCCAAACAGGCACGCACCCACCGCGACACUUUAUUCAAAUACUUCCUCCCUUAUGAAUCACCUAUGUCUCACCAAUGUUGCCAAUGCUGAUUCUACUAUGGUCAAACUACUGCUUCUGUUUGUUGCAUACCACUGUAUAUGUCACUGUCUACCACUCAAACACCAAUAAAGAAUGUAAAAAAAAAAAAAAAGAUUGGUGGUGAUGCCAUUUUCAUGAUAAUAAGGUUUGGGCAUUGGUACCAUCUCAUGCUGGCUGCUCUGAUUUAGCAUUUUCCUGUUGGUUGCCACAGGAUCACCAAAAUUUGUCAAUGCAAGAGAUGGUCUUAAUCUGUUGUACUGGGGUUCUUAGUUACCUUCUGAAAUAUCGAGCUAACUUUCUCUUAGAGUGAUGUUAGUUGAACAACUACAUUCUUAAAGUUUAUAUAGUAUUGGUGGAACCUAAUGUCUGUGGAAAUGGUUUUAUAAUUCUCUCCAGCAUUAUGAACUUUGACAACUUUUUGUUUAUCUCACAGAUCUGGACAUGACUUGCUUCAUUGCCUAUCUCACACAAUCUCAGAGAUCUGGACUGUGACUGGACAUGACUUGCUUCAUUGCCUAUCUCACCAAAUCUCACAGAUCUGGACAUGACUUGCUUCAUUGCCUAUCUCACCAAAUCUCACAGAUCUGGACAUGACUUGCUUCAUUGCCUAUCUCACCAAAUCUCACAGAUCUGGACAUGACUUGCUUCAUUG